GGACUUACUCUUCGGAGUGAGAGCGUACACAGGUGCUGCAUGGCUGUCGUCAGCUCGUGUCGUGAGAUGUUGGGUUAAGUCCCGCAACGAGCGCAACCCUGCAUUCAGUUGCCAUCGGUAAGGCCGGGCACUCUGGAUGGACUGCCGGCGACAAGCCGGAGGAAGGUGGGGACGACGUCAAGUCAUCAUGGCCCUUAUGUCCAGGGCGACACACGUGCUACAAUGGCCGGCACAACGGGAAGCGAAGGGGCGACCCUGAGCGGAUCCCACAAAAGCCGGUCUCAGUUCGGAUUGCAGUCUGCAACUCGACUGCAUGAAGUUGGAAUCGCUAGUAAUCGUGGAUCAGCCAAGCCGCGGUGAAUACGUUCCCGGGCCUU
RNAcentral lists this ribosomal RNA (377 nucleotides) under uncultured Thermovirga sp. RNAcentral describes it as "bacterial SSU rRNA". It matches the Rfam family "Bacterial small subunit ribosomal RNA", at positions 1008 to 1382 of the family's 1533-position model. Lineage: Bacteria; Thermotogati; Synergistota; Synergistia; Synergistales; Thermovirgaceae. The record is from RNAcentral.